CCCGGCGGACCAUCUUGACCUGCCGCAGACCGCGCAACCGCUGAGGGUGCACCACGGCCACAUAGCGAUCCAGACUGAUGCAGAUCACCGCCAGGACCAAAGCGUUGCCGCACACGCUGAAGAUGAAGACCAGAGAGUAGAAGAUGGGGAAGAGGACCACAGCGGAUUGCUGAUCAACUAGCACGUCGCAACUGCUCCGAACUUUCAUCUACAGCCGCCACCCUGUGGCGUACCAUGAUUUUCUAGCGACACGUAUACAUAGAACUCAGCGUUAGACUUCGGAGAAAGAUUCAAAAGAUACAGAUGCACGUUGAGAUCACUCUGUGGUAGUCUGGUACAGCUGAACCCAGCUGCAUUUCAGCAAAAUUUAGCGAUGCUUGGAAAGGAACCAGUUCACUGCCCCUGAAUGCUGUUUGAGGUGCCUUUGAGCAAAGAAUUGAACAUCCUCAGUUCAGUGCACUCUUUUGUUUCCAUUAGGUCCUUUUUUGUGGCACAAUGAAGAAAAGAAUUGCUUGAUUGUCUGAUGUUCCUUUGUCUCUAAAAAGGAGUCUGAAACCUACGGCUCUACACCGCAUGUGGCUCUUUCGUCCGUCUGAUGUGGCCCUCUAUAACUUGGGAAAAAUAAAUGAAUAAAAUAAA
This is a long non-coding RNA of Hippocampus comes (tiger tail seahorse), 639 nucleotides long. RefSeq lists it as uncharacterized. The transcript is spliced from 3 exons. The record is from RefSeq and is a predicted model, not a curated record. NCBI's taxonomy places the organism in Eukaryota, Metazoa, Chordata, Actinopteri, Syngnathiformes, Syngnathidae.